Molecule: ribosomal RNA, 253 nt
Filed under: uncultured bacterium
Lineage: Bacteria
Description: partial 16S ribosomal RNA
Rfam family: Bacterial small subunit ribosomal RNA
Source: RNAcentral
UACGUAGGGUGCAAGCGUUGUCCGGAAUUAUUGGGCGUAAAGAGCUCGUAGGCGGUUUGUCGCGUCUGCUGUGAAAAUCCAGGGCUUAACCCUGGACCUGCGGUGGGUACGGGCAGACUAGAGUGCGGUAGGGGAGAUCGGAAUUCCUGGUGUAGCGGUGAAAUGCGCAGAUAUCAGGAGGAACACCGGUGGCGAAAGCGGCUUCCUGGUCCAGCACCGACGUUCAGGCACGAAAGCGUGGGGAGCAAACAGG